GGUAGGUCCCAGCCCCUGUGUCAUCGCCUCGCUGCCCCUCUGCACAUGCGCGUUUUAUUGUCUCCCAUCCUCCCGGGGAAGGGAAAUGGUAAACUAAGAACUGAUUACCUGUAGAAGUUUCUACACUACCCCUUCAUAAUUCAGUGGAGAACUGGUUAUGAAAUAAUGACCCAACCAUGUGGGAACCACAAACAACACAAGAUUGAAGG
Molecule: long non-coding RNA, 209 nt
Organism: Felis catus (domestic cat)
Lineage: Eukaryota; Metazoa; Chordata; Mammalia; Carnivora; Felidae
Exons: 2
Source: RefSeq, a predicted model, not a curated record